CUAUAACCAAAAUAGUUCAAGAGAUACACACACAUAAUGAAAGCCUGCAUUUUUCUCUUUCAUUUUGCUAUCCCAAUGAGAGUUGUUUGACGCCAAUGUCGAUCGACGGCUUUAGGGCUGACCGCCGACCUCUUGACCCUGGCCUUUCUCCUCCCCAAGUCUUCACUGUCCUUCCUUCUCUUGUUUCAGCAUUGCUCUCCUUUCUCAUUUUCCAUUUUUCUACUUUUGCUUCUUCACCUCCGCCCAUUUCUUCCAUCAACCUUGCAGUCGUCGCUUCCCUGAGAACAUGGUCGGCUUAGCUCCAGUCACCAUGUUGUCCUCUCCUGCCUUUUUCUUUCACAUUUUCCAUUCUCCUUUGCUUUAAAGUUCUUAUUUAUGUUGGUGUAUGUUGGUGUUUUUCGUCAGGAUCUUUUGUGGGCU
This 420-nucleotide long non-coding RNA is filed under the name Gossypium barbadense (sea-island cotton). Its description in RNAcentral is "long non-coding RNA (GBAR_LNC001196)". The record is from RNAcentral. Lineage: Eukaryota; Viridiplantae; Streptophyta; Magnoliopsida; Malvales; Malvaceae.